RNAcentral lists this ribosomal RNA (415 nucleotides) under uncultured bacterium. RNAcentral describes it as "bacterial SSU rRNA". It matches the Rfam family "Bacterial small subunit ribosomal RNA", at positions 108 to 518 of the family's 1533-position model. The record is from RNAcentral.
GCGUAACGCGUAUGCAACCUGCCCCCCAUCAGGGGAAUAGCCCGCCGAAAGGCGGAUUAAUGCCCCAUAGACCCAGGGCGCUGCAGUGGCGCGUAUGGGUAAAGCUCCUGCGGAUGGGGAUGGGCAUGCGUGCCAUUAGCUAGUUGGGGCGUAACGGCGCACCAAGGCGACGAUGGCUAGGGGGUCUGAGAGGAUGGUCCCCCACACUGGUACUGAGACACGGACCAGACUCCUACGGGAGGCAGCAGUGAGGAAUAUUGGUCAAUGGGCGGAAGCCUGAACCAGCCAAUGCCGCGUGCAGGAUGACGGCCCUACGGGUUGUAAACUGCUUUUCCCCGGGAAGAAUAAGCCCCUCGUGAGGGGUGAUGCCGGUACCGGGGGAAUAAGGAUCGGCUAACUCCGUGCCAGCAGCAGC